Molecule: long non-coding RNA, 1722 nt
Filed under: Homo sapiens (human)
Lineage: Eukaryota; Metazoa; Chordata; Mammalia; Primates; Hominidae
Description: uncharacterized LOC105373418, transcript variant 3 (LOC105373418)
Source: RNAcentral
AGUCAUGUCCAGUUCUGUAAACAAAUUCUCAACUGCACCAGAAGGCCUGACAGUUAAGAGAACCCAGUGAAGAAACCUUUUGCAGAGAGAGAAAAGAACCCUUUUGAAUGUGAUCAAUCACGCUGAUUUAUUUGGAUGAUUUCUCUUCUGGAUUUCCUUAAACCAGGGAAAACCCAGGGACAGCAAUUGCUAUAAUUGAUGCAAACGAUCCCAGCCACACUCCCUGAUCCUGGUUCUGAAACUCAGAGAUGCAGCUGACCAGACUGAUGUGGCCAGCCUCACUCUGAAGGAUCCUGCAGCAGACAAAUUGCUGGAAUGUGUUCAGACGGAAUCCAGCUGCUACAACCGUCACACAAACUUCCUGAAAUAGAGGACAAAAGAGACAGAGGUCUUGCUAUGUUGCCCAGGCUGGUCUCAAGCUCCUGGCCUCAAGCGAUUCUCCUUCCUCAGCCUCCAAAAGUGCUGGGAUUACAGGUGCAACAGUGACCCGUGACGCAGUAGGGAGGGCUGUUUUCCAUGCCCAGUGAGGCCUGCUCAGCUCCCAUUAGGCCUUUAUGGAUGGCCUGCCUCCCAGCUGGUACCUGGUCCCGUCACAGUCCCAGGACUCUAGACCUCGAGGCAGCCAGGCCACAAAAUGCAUGGCACAGGGAAGGGUUUGACAACUUUUUGAUGGAUGAACAAAGAAGAUUCAAGCCACUUGUCAACAAGCUCAAAGUGAUUGAAAGUGGAAGCAUUUACCCACACGCUCAUGCAGAAAAUGACAGGAAAUCAUCCAGAGACACUUGUGACAGAGAUGAGAACUGUCACUGUUGAGAGGUGCUGCGGAGAUGGGUGUCCACGGAUGACCGUUCGGAGGCCGACUUCGGGGAUGUGGCCCCAUUAGCUCAAGAGUGGGUGACUCCCUACCACACUGAUGGCGUUGGCCAGGACAGGACAAGCCUACUGCAGUGACACAGUGUCACUGAUCCCUGAUGCCCACGUGGGUGUUUUACUUUAGCUAAUGCUGCAGAGAUAAUGCAGACAGAGAAAUGAGGCCCCAGCGCUGAGCAGCCCAAUCACCUGGUUGUAAGCAGCGAGUGUUUCUGGCUCUGCUCCUGGGCCCCAAACCACUGUGGGCUCACGAAGAAUCUUUCAGAGUUGGAGUCAGAAUGUCAGGGUUUGAGUGUAGUCUCCACCCCUUAAUGACCUUGCAUUGAUAAUUCUAUUCCCCGAGCCUCAUUUUACCCAUCUAUAAAAUGAGGACAAAUAGUUUAUUUCCUGGUUACUUCACUAAGAUGUUGUAUCAAAAAAGAAUAUAUGCAAUAAAAUGCUUUCCUAAGUAAAAAAAGAUUUCCUAAGUCAAACACAGAUUUUAUUUUAUAUUUUUAGUUAAGGUUUGCAAAAUUAGAUGUCAGAUUAGGAAAUCCGGACUACCGUGUGUGAUCAGCAAAGUUAUGACUUCAAAAGAAAACAUAAUUGGCGGAAAAACCUUACAUGUGAGGCAGACAUGAUGAGAUCUAACAACCGGUGGGCAUUGGUGGAUGAGUUCUGUCUUACCUUGUGUUUAUCUUUUGAAAUCUAGGUAAUCUUAGCCAGGAGCUAUGUCUCAUGUCAAUAAUCGCAGCAGUUUGGGAGGCUGAGGCGGGAAGAUCACUUGAGCCCAGGAGUUCGAGACGAGCCUGAGCAACACAGUGAGACCUCAUCUCUACAAAAAAUUAAAAUAAAAUAAAAUAAAAUAAAAUC